Molecule: ribosomal RNA, 303 nt
Filed under: uncultured bacterium
Lineage: Bacteria
Description: partial 16S ribosomal RNA
Rfam family: Bacterial small subunit ribosomal RNA
Source: RNAcentral
AGCAGUCGCCGCGGGAAUACGAAGGGUGCAAGCGUUACUCGGAAUUACUGGGCGUAAAGCGUGCGUAGGUGGUGGUUUAAGUCCGUUGUGAAAGCCCUGGGCUCAACCUGGGAAUUGCAGUGGAUACUGGGUCACUAGAGUGUGGUAGAGGAUAGUGGAAUUUCCGGUGUAGCAGUGAAAUGCGUAGAGAUCGGAAGGAACAUCUGUGGCGAAGGCGACUAUCUGGGCCAACACUGACACUGAGGUACGAAAGCAUGGGGAGCAAACAGGAUUAGAUACCCCUGUAGUCCCUGUCUCUUAUAC